AGUGCUUGAUCCUGGCUCAGGACGAACGCUGGCUGCGUGCUUAACACAUGCGAAUCGAACGCUGAAGCCUGGUGCUUGCACCGGGUGGAUGAGAGGCGAACGGGUGAGUAACACGUGAGUAACCUGCCCCUGACUUCGGGAUAAGCCCGGGAAACUGGGUCUAAUACCGGAUACGACUGGGCGACGCAUGUCUGGUGGUGGAAAGCCUUUUCGGUUGGGGAUGGGCUCGCGGCCUAUCAGUUUGUUGGUGAGGUAAUGGCUCACCAAGACGACGACGGGUAGCCGGCCUCAGAGGGCGACCGGCCACACUCCCACUGAGACGCGGCCCAAGCUCCUACGGGAGGCAGCAGUGGGGAAUAUUGCACAAUGGGGGAAACCCUGAUGCAGCGACGCAGCGUGCGGGAUGACGGCCUUCGGGUGUAAACCGCUUUCAGCAGGAUCGAAGCGAAAGUGACGGUACCUCGAGAAGAAGUACCGGCUAACUAGGUGCCAGCCAGCGCGGUAAUACGUAGGGUACGAGCGUUGUCCGGAAUUAUUGGGCGUAAAGAGCUCGUAGGUGGUUGGUCACGUCUGCUGUGGCAACGCAACGCUUAACGUUGCGCGUGCGAUGGGUACGGGCUGACUAGAGUGCAGUAGGGGAGUCUGGAAUUCCGGCUGUAGCGGUGAAAUGCGCAGAUAUCAGGAUUACC
This 689-nucleotide ribosomal RNA is filed under the name Brevibacterium casei. RNAcentral describes it as "bacterial SSU rRNA". It matches the Rfam family "Bacterial small subunit ribosomal RNA", at positions 8 to 707 of the family's 1533-position model. The record is from RNAcentral. Lineage: Bacteria; Bacillati; Actinomycetota; Actinomycetes; Micrococcales; Brevibacteriaceae.